GGGCUUCUUCAUCCGGAUCUUGCAUGAACUCCGUUCCAGUCAUCUGGGCAAGGAUGCGAAAAGACUUGGACUGCAGGUUGGCAGAACGGCGGCCCCAGUCUUCAGUUUCAUCUUCAGGCUUGUUCUGAGUUUUGAGAACAGCCUGAUACACCGGAGAUGCACUGUCUACGUGAGGAUCUUUAAUAGGAAGGGUACCAGCAAAUUCUCCACCUUGGGCUUGUGCCUGGCCUGCAAUUGCAUCCAUGAUGGCAUCUUGGGAAUACAUGCUGAUUGGGGUGUUAUACUGGGCGUGAAUUAUAGUAGCCUUGCCGCCUAGGCCUUUCACCUCAAUGGGUUUGUGUGUAGAUAGGGCAGAGUCCUUCAGGACACUGGGGUUGAAACGCUCCGUGAAAUCCGUGUUGGAAGUGGU
Molecule: long non-coding RNA, 409 nt
Filed under: Gallus gallus (chicken)
Lineage: Eukaryota; Metazoa; Chordata; Aves; Galliformes; Phasianidae
Source: RNAcentral